RNAcentral lists this long non-coding RNA (231 nucleotides) under Capsicum annuum. Its description in RNAcentral is "long non-coding RNA (CANN_LNC017115)". The record is from RNAcentral. Lineage: Eukaryota; Viridiplantae; Streptophyta; Magnoliopsida; Solanales; Solanaceae.
UGAAUCCUCAAUAAAACUAUCAACCAUCAGGGUCAGAAUCACUUUCAUUCUCAUAAGCUUGGUUGUCUUCUUGAGAUGGGUGUUCAUCAUUUGAAGAUGAUUUCUUGUAUACAUGCUUUAUCAAUAAGUCCAAUUCCUUUCUCAUCCUCCUUCCACAAUUGAUGCACUUUGAGCAGUUAAUAUUUCUUGUUUCUUUCUUUCAAACUCAUUCUGCAUAAGAAUAUGUUAAUU